RNAcentral lists this long non-coding RNA (8937 nucleotides) under Hordeum vulgare. RNAcentral's name for it is "long non-coding RNA (HVUL_LNC002918)". The record is from RNAcentral. Lineage: Eukaryota; Viridiplantae; Streptophyta; Magnoliopsida; Poales; Poaceae.
GGCAUCGGCUCGGGCUUGGGUUCUGGCUUUGGCAUCGGCUCCGGCUUGGGUUCCGGCUUGGGCUCUGGCUUUGGCAUGGGUUCAGGCUUAGGCAUAGGUUUGGGCUCCGGCUUUGGCAUGGGUUCAGGCUUAGGCAUAGGUGUGGGCUCCGGCUUCGGCAUGGGUUCAGGUUUAGGCAUAGGCUUGGGCUCCGGGUACGGCGUGGGCUUGGGCUCUGGCUCGGGGAGCUUCUCGGCGAGGCCCCGGCCAGCAGCGGCCGCGAGGCUGAAGCCGGAGGCCGCGAGCAGCCCGACGAGGAGCACGGCAAGGAGGCUGUGCCUCGCCAUUGCUGCUUUCUCGCAGCUGUUGCUGCACUUGUGCUUCACCGCUUCCGAACCUCUCAACGGGCGAUGGAUAGAUAAAGUGGAUGUGGUGUGUGGUUCCUCUGAAUGGUGGUGUGGAGAACCGGAGAUGGCAUAUGUCCCGGCUUUAUAGCGCUGAGCAGCCAAGCAGGCCCAGACGCGUGUGCCACACUCCCGGCGCCGGUGGGUCUGCUUGUGGAUCAGGUUACCCCAACCUUUUCAGUUUUCAUCUGCCGUCUGCCGUCUGCACCUUCCUUCCUUCCGACUGCAAAGCUAGCUAGGUAAGAUGCCCGAGGUACGGCUGGCGGUGGCCGGUGGCCCGUCGCCGUCGCGCCUUGAAACCCAUGUCGGAUCUUCAUUUCUCCGUUGCGCGUAGCAUCCGACGACGGCUGAUGGGUGCGGGUCAAGUCCGAGGACGACUGUUUCUAGCAGCUAGCAGCAGCAGCAGAUAGCCGGCAGCCGGUGGGGCACUGAAGGUUAAAACCCCAGCCUGACGGCAUCAUCAUCAACUCUUUUAUGCGCCGUACUGUUCACGUGGUUGAUUACAAAGAGAAGGUACGAAAAAGUAAGCACUAGUUGUGGUCGCCAGGCAGACACGAGCCCGUGCGUGCGUGCGUGCGUGUGCGUCCGUCCUGAACGCGUUUGCGCUGCCGGCUCGAUGGCCUGCUGCCGUUUCACUGUUCAUGCAUGUCCGGUCGAUCGAUCCGUCCGUCGGCGAUUCUGCGUACGGCGCGGUGUGCCAUCGACGGCAGCCGCGCCCACUGACCCGCUGUAUCUAUCGAGCCAUCGGCAUUGUUCACGGAUGGGAUCUGGCGAACGAUCGGCCUUGCUUUGCUUGGUGUGGUUUGCGGUGUUGAUUACUUGAUUGAUUGUCUUUUCUUUGUGGGAUACACUUCCGAUGCUUCUUAUCAUAAUCCAUCGCGGCAGUACAAAUAAAGCCAGAGAUAAUAAAAAUUACAACCAGGUCUAUUGAUCGCCUAACUACGAAUGCAAGCAAGGGAGCGAGCUGAGGGCAUGACGACGUCAUUGCCCCUCCAUCAUCCGGGCCGGGUAGAACUUUAUUGUAGUAGACAAAAGACAAUCAAAAAGUAUAGCACCGACCGAAUUUCAUGAGAUUCAGCGAAAAUACCUCCACAUGUCCUCCAACAAUGCUAGACGUAUCGUUGGUAUUAGGAUAAAACGUAAGAAAAUAUUUCUAUUGAACCACAUCACCGCCGUCACAAAGCCCCAACCAAGACACUUUUUUUUUGCGAGAAACCAACCANNNNNNNNNNNNNNNNNNNNNNNNNNNNNNNNNNNNNNNNNNNNNNNNNNNNNNNNNNNNNNNNNNNNNNNNNNNNNNNNNNNNNNNNNNNNNNNNNNNNAGGGGCCAGCACCGCCUGCACCCGCCGGAGCACCGCCGCUAGCCCAACGCCCGCCACCGCCUACCGCNCACCGCUCGCCGAGGCCUGCCCCCUCGCGCCCGAUCGCGAUCGCCACAAGCCACCGCCGUCAACCACCUAGAUCCACCGCUCGCGGAGGAAGGGGAGCCGGGAGAGGGAGUCCCCCGCCGCCGCCGUCUGCCACACGUGUUUUACCGGCGGCGUCACCCGGAGGCGGCGAGGAGGGGAGGAUGAGAGAGCGGCGGCGGCGCCUAGGGCUUGGGAGCCCCCGAGUCGCCCAGGACGGGGGCGACGCGAGGGGUCUUCCCGUUACUUGUGUCAUGUGAGUUGGACAGUGGAACAAGAAACGGUGAGUUUCUGUAGUACGAUAAUUUUGAGGAUUGGAGUGUAAAGUAAAUCGGUUUCAAAUACUCUGCUGCUCAUAAAUUUCCGAGAGAUAAACACGAUCUGUUGCUCAAGUGUUAAUUCUAGUCUUGUUUGCUCACAAGUCGAUGGUUUUUUCUACUGUCUAUAUUUAUUAGAUAGAAAAACAAGGAGAAGUCAAAUAUAAACCAUAUCGCAUUUGAAAACUUGGUCCUGGACAUGAUCAUUUGAACUGGCGGUUAUCGCAUUUGCAAGUGCCUACAUUCUAUUUCUUUUUGCAAAAUUAGCUUAUCUUGCUGAUUUUUCUACAAACUUCUAUAUAUUCUAGGACAAUGUGAGAUAGUGAAAAUGCUGCUUUCAACUGGAAUUGAUGUUGAUCAUCUCGAUUCUGAGUACGGGACCGCAUUGCAUGCUGCCGCUACUAAUGGUCAAGAUGGCUCAAUGAGUAUUUUGUUGCAGCAUCACGCAGAUGUAAGUCGCCACUUUCUUCGUUCUCUUCUUGGCUGUGCGAAACUAAAUUCGGACUUGUGAAGGCUCUAAUUAAGCGACUGUAUCUCCAGUUCAUAACUAAAUUCGGACUUGUGAAGGCUCUAAUUAAACGGAAAUACUGGGGUCUAUUAGUACUUGGGCUCAAUCUGAACCAAAAGAGUUUAUGUUGGCACAAAGCAAAACAUAUAUACAACAUUUGUCGUUUGACCAUAAGUAAUUCUCCUGAAGUGAAACAUGUUCAUUUUCUCAUAAGUAUUCUAAAUGUUUGUCUGAUUUUAUAAUUAAAUUAAAAAAGUGUUUGCUUAUGUGCAUUGAGAAAUGCAAAUAUGUGUAACACACAAUGCGCUUGUUUUAUUUCCCCAUAUAUUACUCCAUUUUUUACAAGUGAAUAAAUCGAUGUUUCUACUUUCCACAGCCUAAUAAGGUUUUCCGCCUUCAAAGUACCCCGUUAAGUAUGGCCAUAAUUUCUGAAUCGCUGGAAUGUGUGAAGCUACUCGUUAAGGUCAGCAAUCUUUCUCGUUCAUGGAGCUUCCUUUAGUGUAGUCUAUAGACGCAGCUUCAUUUCUCCGUGCAUACAGUUUCUGCAGUUGACAUCUCAAGCACUUGCUCAAAUGAAACUAAAAUUUAUUUACACAGGCUGGCGCUGAUGUGAAUAAAAUUGACUAUACUGGUGUUACUUACUUGAUGGUAGCAGCAACCAAUGGCUUAUCUGAUAUCAUGAAGUGCUUACUGGAUGCUGGGGCUGACCCAGAUGUUGAUGAUGGAGUGAGUCACUGAGUCUUACAUUGUUUUCUCUCCCUCUGCCUUCAUGAUCUACUUUUCAUACGUAUUCUCUUUUCGUAGUUGGCUGAAUGGUUGUGCCUCUGUGGAACAUGUUAGGAUCAAUAGGCUCUAGAGAGAUUGGGAUAAAUGUGCUCAGUCACUUCUUUUACAUCAACUGUACCCAUGCUGCUGGGAAUAUUUUAUUCAUGCAUGAUCAAACACAUUGUUUUAGUAAAUCAUAUCUGUUACUAAGCGAUACAUGGUCUACAGAGAACAUGGAAAAAGUAUUCCGACCAACAUGUUUACUGUGUAGUAUCAAUGGAGCAAAUCACCAUCGUAACAUUUUGCACCGCCUUGGUCAGCAUAUAUCUGCUGCAGUUCUUCCCAGCUGUUGAACUUACUAGUUGCUGCCCACGGAAGACGUUUUGAGUAGGAAUUCUUAGUAAAUCACCAUCCUGUACAAUUAUUUCUUUGCGGAGGCAGCGGAGUACCUUGCAGAGCUUUCAUGAAUUUGUUUAUUGUCAAUCGAGAAAUUCUCCAGUUUCUUCAUUGCCUGGUCAAAUAGACACAAGAUGCUAAUUUUUUCAAAGACUUACUCUUCUAUGUAUGUUGUUGUGUCGAUGGCACAUUCUUUCUCUAUUCUGUUUCGACAAAGGUGCAAUAUAAAAAACAUAUUAGUCUGGGAUUUGGAUUAAUAUUUUUACAGGAUUUAACCUUAGCUUUAUUUUCCGAAUUUAGUGGAGAAGUAUGGACAAGACUAUUCCAUUAUUUGUCCCUGAGCCUUGAUUUUCUCAAAGCCCAUCUAGUUAUGUGGUUGAUAUUGUGGACUUCCCAUAGUAACUAUCAAUGUUGAAAUGCUUUGCUAGCAAUGAUAAUCGAACAUGAAAUCAAUCAUCUCAUUUACUCCUGCAGUUUGGUACAACUCCAAUCGAAAUUGCCGCCCUCCGAGGCAGAUGGGAUAUGGUUGAGAUGUUAUUUCCUUUAACUUCUCCCAUUUCAACAUUGCCGGAUUGGAGUGUUGAUGGAAUUAUUUCUCAUGUGCAAUCUUUUGGUUUGAAGCCGAGGGUAUGUAGUUCCAUUUACAGUUCCAUAGUAUUAUGUAGCAUGGCUAGUAGUCUUCCAUUCUUCUUGUUGUGCUCCUGCAGUUAUGAUUUCUAUUGAUAUUUAUAAUAACAGAAAAAUGUUAUGCAUAAGCGCCCCAUAUUUGAGAAUGUUUUAAUGUCAUUGUUAGGGUCAACUAAGAUUCUAAAUGAAGCUUUCUUUUCUGUGCUUCUGUUGUAUAUAUGCCUUGACCAAAAAUACUUUUUGAUCAGGAUAUACAUCUAUGUGAAAUGAAAAGAGCUGAACUAAAUUUACAAGCUGCUGAGGCUUUUAAGAGAAAGGAAUAUACGAUAGCAGGAGAGCUAUAUACUUGUGUAAGUCACUGAGCCUAGAUGAUUACGAUAGUUACAGUGUCAAAUUAAUCAUGUGCUUGUCAUUCUUAUCUAGGAAGACACUUCACAUUUCGAAAACGCCUAAAAAGUUAAACCCCUUUCUGACUGUUCAGUGUCCUAAUCUAACUGUUUAAGCUGCAGCUAGACUAGAACCACAGUGUCUGAAACAAAGGCAGAUUUGCGUGGCACUAGAGCUGCAUGCUACUAUAGCAGUUGUUUUGCACUGUUUGUCCUCAAAAUACAGUCUGCAUUGUGCUCGCAGUUGCUAUUAUCAUCCAGUUACAUUAGCAGCUGCACCUGAUCUCUUUCUUUAGUACUCCCUCCGUUCGAAAAUAGUUGUCAUGGUUUUAGUUCAAAUUUGAACUCUAACCACGACAAGUAUUUUGGAGCAGAGGGAGUAUAUGUUCUAAUCUUCAUGCAUGAGCCCUUAUUCAAAUGUCCAGUCAGUCAGUAUAGCUAGUGACUAGAGAUAAUUUUUUGGGCACUAGUACAAAAUUUUAGCUUCACGCAAAAUGGUAACAAAAUAGCAUGUAUGUAGUUUUGUGAUCUUCCAGCAACUUGGAAUCUCACACACACACACACACANAAUGCUAUACGCACACAUACAUAUAUAUAUAUAUGUAUGUGUGCGUAUAGCAUUUCCUUAUUAAAACUAACUCAAUGGAAGGUGGCCCUCCGCAGAUUAGUUACCGACAUGAAAAAACUGCUUCGGAGUUGAAUUGCUUAUGUUUUUAGUUAGAUGAACUGUGUGCACAUCCAAAGGUAUUUUGAAUUCCAAAGUUAUCUAUAUUUAUUUCAUAAAAAAUCAGCAUCAUUUUCCAUGUAUCUUUCGUAAAAUUCUGUCAAAAAUCUUAUAUUUGAUUUCAUAAAAAUGAACGGUUUCUCCGUGUCUCGAUCUGGAUUAUCAGAAAUGUUGGCGGGGACGAUGAAAAUGCUGUUACUGUGUUAUGUCAACUACCUUGUAACAAAAUCUGCAUGUGAUUGGUCUAUUGUAGGCAAUGAGUUUUCAGCCCAGUUCAGAAGAUCUUGCAACCCUCCUAGCAAAUAGAAGUUUCUGUAUGUUGCACGCGGGAAUAGGAAAAGAUGCUCUCUCCGAUGCGGCUAAGUGCACGGUGCUACGACGUUUUUGGCCCAGAGGUUACUAUCUACUAGGAGCAGCCUUCAUGUUACUAGAGGUAAAAAGAAAGAAAAAAUCGUUACGGCCAUUCUUUCGUGACCAUGAUCAAAUUGAUCAUCUUCUGGUGUCUACUCACAGGACUAUGGAAAAGCAGCUCUGACUUUUGCAACUGGCUUGAAACUGGACCCUACCGAUGCCGAUAUUGCAAAUGCUUUAAGGUAAUUGUUUGUUCCAUGUCUUCAUGUUUGCGAGGAAUCUUGUGCAGUGCCACCUGCUUGAUUGGUCCCAUAAAUAUAUUAACUAUUUCUUAUAUACUCCCUGUGUUGCUAAAUAUUAGACAUUUUGACAGUUCAAUUUGAACUAGAACUGUAGCUCUGGUUCUCAAAAACAAAGGAAAGAGAGCACCUUGUCAUGUUGCCCUGUGCAUGCCUCUGCUCCGAUCAAUCUCUGGUAAAAGGAGCCAUAUAGAAGUAUGCUUAUACCAAAAAUAUUUUUCGUCGCAGGGAAGCCCGAGCGGCGGCGAGGAAUCCUCCUCGCACCGGGGGGCUGGGGCGCCUUAACCCAUUUGGAAUCAGACGCUCCUGGAGAGACUGAGGCUCUGUUUCGUUGCUAUCUCCAGUCCAGGGUAUGCUUGCCUGUUAUCCUCUUUUCCUAUGUCCAGUCCAGGGUAUGCAUGCCCCGUUAUUAUUCUCUGGAAAGAUUGAGACUCUGUUUCGUUGCUGAAGACUCUGUUUAGUGUUGAACCGUCCAAGACUGCCAAUCUCGUAUGCUAUGUUGUAAGACGUCAUGGGGCACUGAUGGUGUCAACAUGGAUAUAUGUACAUUGUGGUUAUAAACCGUCUCCGUGAACCGUUGUGGUUAUAUAUCGUGUUCGUGAACCCCUGUGAAAUGCGCUUGUCUAUAAUUCCAUUCUUAGAAAGGAAAUGAACAAGUCUUCAUCCACAUUAGUCAAGGUGGAGCUUAAGGCCCUGUUCGGAUUCUCUCCUUCCACAACUGCAGCUCCUUGAGCGGAGGGAACGGUAGCACAAUUUCAGGGAACUGCUCAAACCAAGCUCCUCGCGCGGAGCAGAGUUAUGAGAUUGGAGAGGUUCCGAACAUGCUUUAGGUAGUACAAUACUGGUUAGAGAAAAAGGAUAGCAGACAAAAAAAAAUUGUAGCCUUCUAGGAAGGGGGUCGUAUGGAAAGGGGGAAAUAAUCUGUGUGGAUAACUGGAUUUUGUAUGGGUAUGGCGUUGGGCAUGCUGUAGAAGUCAGUAGACACAUUAGAAUCCUGCCGAGGAUGAAAUACACUGCUUACUGAGGAUAAAGAGAGCACAUCCCUCUUUUCUUGGGGGAAUUUGGCACAUCUCUCUUUUUUUAGUGGAAUUUGGCACAACUCUUGCCAUCACCUUUUGCUGGGUGGUGAAUUUAACUAGAAACCGCACAUAUUGUCAUUCAUGUAAAUGAAUAAGAUCAUGUGUACAUACACGAAAGAACAACCGAGUCAUGUGCACAGAUGAACGCAUACCAGCACGCAAAUGAUAAUUACAAAGUAGUAAUAAUCAUCAUGGGUGCAUGGAACAAGAGAAACUAAAAAGGGAUGGUGGAAUACAAGGAAUGCAAAAAAGAUGCAUCAUCACUAUCUCGCUAGCCGGAUACUAUGCCACUUAUUCUGGAAAUAGCACAUCGUGGCUCCGGACGGGGUCGAUCUCCUCCUCCUUCGGCUGUCAUAUGUGAGCAUCACAUCAAUUGUCAGUCAUCGGCGGCUUGCCCUUCGGAGGCGGCUCGGGCUUGGGUUCGGGUUCAGGCUUGGGCUCUGGCUUAGGCAUGGGUUGAGGCUUGGGCUCUGGUUUUGGCAUUGGGUAAGGCUUGGGCUCUGGCUUUGGCAUCGGCUCGGGCUUAGGCUCCGGCUUUGGCAUCGGCUCUGGCUUGGGUUCAGGUUUUGGCAUCGGCUCGGGCUUGGGCUCUGGCUUUGGUUCGGGUUUUGGCAUCGGUUUAGGCUCAGGCUUCAUCGGCUCGGGUUUGGGCUCUGGCUUUGGUUCGGGUUUUGGCAUCGGCUCUGGUUUGGGCUCUGGCUUUGGUUCGGGUUUUGGCAUCGGCUCUGGUUUGGGCUCAGGCUUAGGUUCAGGUUUUGGCAUCGGCUCGGGCUUGGGCUCUGGCUUUGGUUCGGGUUUUGGCAUCGGCUCUGGUUUGGGCUCUGGCUUUGGUUCGGGUUUUGGCAUCGGCUCUGGUUUGGGCUCAGGCUUAGGCUCAGGUUUUGGCAUCGGCUCUGGCUUGGGCUCAGGCUUAGGCUCAGGUUUGGGCAUGGGGUAAGGCUUGGGCUCAGGCUUCGGUUCGGGUUUCGGCAUCGGCUCGGGCUUGGGCUCUGGCUUUGGUUCGGGUUUUGGCAUCGGCUCGGGCUUGGGCUCUGGCUUUGGUUCCGGUUUCGGCAUCGGUUUAGGCUCUGGCUUCAUCGGCUCGGGUUUGGGCUCAGGUUUCGGUUCUGGUUUAGGCAUGGGCUCAGGUUUCGGUUCUGGUUUAGGCAUAGGCUCAGGUUUGGGCUCAGGUUUCGGUUCUGGUUUAGGCAUCGGCUCGGGCUUGGGUUCUGGCUUUGGCAUCGGCUCCGGCUUGGGUUCCGGCUUGGGCUCUGGCUUUGGCAUGGGUUCAGGCUUAGGCAUAGGUUUGGGCUCCGGCUUUGGCAUGGGUUCAGGCUUAGGCAUAGGUGUGGGCUCCGGCUUCGGCAUGGGUUCAGGUUUAGGCAUAGGCUUGGGCUCCGGGUACGGCGUGGGCUUGGGCUCUGGCUCGGGGAGCUUCUCGGCGAGGCCCCGGCCAGCAGCGGCCGCGAGGCUGAAGCCGGAGGCCGCGAGCAGCCCGACGAGGAGCACGGCAAGGAGGCUGUGCCUCGCCAUUGCUGCUUUCUCGCAGCUGUUGCUGCACUUGUGCUUCACCGCUUCCGAACCUCUCAACGGGCGAUGGAUAGAUAAAGUGGAUGUGGUGUGUGGUUCCUCUGAAUGGUGGUGUGGAGAACCGGAGAUGGCAUAUGUCCCGGCUUUAUAGCGCUGAGCAGCCAAGCAGGCCCAGACGCGUGUGCCA